UCGCUAGGUUUGAAACUACGUGUCCCAGACUGCAUCCCUGCUGAGAGUCCCUCCCUCCCUUCUCAAGUUGCAGGAAGAACGCGAGCGCCCAUCCCGUGUCAAUCAGUCACCAUAUAAUUUUGGAUUGGUUGUUGUGGUGAAGUUUUCCACCAAUAGGAGAGAUGUUGUGGUGUGUUUUUUUCUUUUCUUUUGGCAAGCCUUUUCCGCCUGUAAGACCUGUCGCUAAUGUCUGCAUGCUAUGUUUUCCUGUCUCAUACAGCGCGAUCGAGCGCCGAACGUGAUCAAAAUAAGCAGAAAAAAAGUAUUGCGGACAUAAUUUAUCAUAACUCUGGUUUUAUUUGGCCUAUCAACACAAUUUAAAAACUGGUAUAUAGUUUGAGGUCCUCACUUUUAAGAUAGGUUGAAACGAAGAAUCAACGAGGCUCCGUCUUGCAGCUACAUCCGGUUAAAUAUGUCAUGUGACUUGAACGCUGGGGAGCGUCAAUCGAAUCGAAUCAAACCUAACUCUCAGAUGAAUCUUCAAAAUUCACCUCAGAAAUAUGCUUAUUAUUCUUCUCAGAGUACUGCAGGAUACACACACACACAGACACACACACACACACGCACACACACUCAGAGUCUGUUUUUUAGCACCUGCAAACACAUGCUAUUUACAUAUUUGACAAGAAUGCAGAGGCUUUCUUUUGCCUCUGAAAAAAAUCAAAUUUCAAACACAACUUGACUGCUCAUUUCUCCAAAAGACAACCAUGAAGCUCCAUCCAAACCUGAAGCAGGCAGUUGGUGCAUGUGUACAGUAACCUGAGGGGAGUGAGGUGACUGCUUCUGAGGAGAACAUGAGCAGUGAAGAUUCACCUUGGAGCUAGAACAGGGACGUGCACAUGAUUUGCAGGGGCAGGGGCUCAAUUUUUUCCAGUCGUUUAUACAAUAUGGAAAUUAAUGUGAAAUUAAAAAACAAAGUAUUAAUAGAAAGGUAAUGACUGUCCUGUGUAGGUGACAGUGAUAUCCAAUAGGCUAGGCACUCACGAGGCUGGCUGUGGCAAGUGUAAGUGAAAGCAACACGCACUGGCAGGAAGAACAGCAAACGCCGAUGAAGGCAAAGGGUCUUUGCAGUGAUGGGCGUUACCAGAGAGGGCGAUGGCCAGAGGACGCGAAUGGGACGGGGAGGCAGCGCGUUGGGGGGGGGCGCGACACGGCUCGGGCCCGCCAGUGCCCCAACGGGGCCCUAGUUAUUAUUUUUCCUCCGCUUUAAACUGGAAAAUGGCCCACUUCCCACUGGCGAAAACUCAUGAAAUUUGGCAGGACGACCGGGCCUGGUGAAAAAUUCGAUAUUCUGAAGUCGCCCAAACAAUAAAAUGCAAAAUGGCUCCAUAGCGCCCCCUAAGGCGAAAAUUCACACUAUUGACUGUCACGCCUGUACGCUUUGUCAUAUUGACACAAAAAUUGACACACACGUGUAUCUCAAUACGGUCUACGAAAAAGUCAGCGCGGGCGCAUCUGUGAAAUGUACGGUUAGAGGGUUAUUUCGCAUUUUUUGCCGAUCUGCACACAUUGGAAUUUGGCUAACUCCUCCGAAGGCAUUCGUUCCACCGGCACCACAUUUGCUCAAGCCAAUCUACACCCCAUGGCCAUUAAAAGUUGUACAAAUCAUGACGCUGCACCCCACAGUUUACGUUCUAGGGGGCGCCAAAGAUAACCCAAAAAUCCACAGUCUUAAAAGUCUUAUAACUUUUUAUUUUUGCCCUCACUGGCCUCCAAGUUUUCUAGGAUGAUGCAAUGUCCAGCCAUCAACACAUUUGUGAAGGAAUUUUUACUCCCCAAAAGAGCGCCCCCACAUGGCAGGAGAAAAAAGUCCAUUUUUUCUUGUCCCCUAAGGUGAAAAUACACAUUGUUGAGUGUCACGCCUAUACGCUUUGUCAUAUUGACACAAAAUUUGACAAUCACGUGUAUCUCAAUAAGAUCUACGAAAAAGUCAAUGGGCACGUAUCUGUAAAAUGUACGGUUAAAGGGUUAUUUCGCAUUUUUUCCCGAUCCGCACACAUUGGAUUUUCACUAACUCCUCCGAAGGCUUUAGUUCCACCGCCACCAAAUUUGCUCAGGCCAAUCUACACCCCAUGGCCAUUAAAAGUUGUACAAAUCAUGACGUUGCACUCCACGGUUUAGGUUCUAGGGGGCGCCAAAGAUAACCCAAAAAUCCACAUUCUUAAUAGUCUUAUAACUUUUUAUUUUUGUCCUCACUGGCCUCCAAGUUUUCUAGGAUGAUGCAAUGUCCAGCCAUCAACACAUUUGUAAAGGAAUUUUUACUCCCGAAAAGAGCGCCCCCCCAUGGCAGGAGAAAAAUGUCCAUUUUUUCUUGUCCCCUAAGGUGAAAAAACACAUUGUUGACUGUCACGCCUAUACGCUUUGUCAAAAUGACACAAAAUUUGACACACACGUGUAUCUCAAUAAGAUCUACGAAAAAGUCAAUGGGCACGUAUCUGUAAAAUGUACGGUUAAAGGGCUAUUUCGCAUUUUUUGCAGAUCUGCACACAUUGGAAUGUGGCUAACUCCUCCUAAGGCUUUCUUCCCACCGACACCAAAUUUGCUCAAGCCGAUCUACAUCCCAUGGCCAUUCAAAGUUGUAAAAAUCAUGCCGCUGCACCCCAUGGUUUACGUUCUAGGGGGCGCCAAAGAUGACCCAAAUAUCCACAUUCUUAAAAGAAUCCACAUCCCCCCCCCCCCCCCCCCCCCCCCCCCCCCCCCAAGGCAGGAGAAAAAGUCCAGUUAACCCUGCCCAUCGCUCAAUGGCUCAAUCGCAUCGCUCUCCUGGCAACACCGUAAGGAGGAGCAACUUGCCAUUUGGAUAUAUCCUAGCUGUGUUUGUGCCCUCACUCAUGGUCCAGACUUUUUUCAAAUAGGACAUGUAGUUUGUCUGCAGCGACCGUUUUGGUAGAAACUGCGCCUCCCAUUCAUUAUAAUGGGAAAUGACCACAGACAAGUGCGCACACCAUCUUUGGACCUUGAGUGUGAUGCGAUCGGGAGGGGGAGGCGGUCGCGCUGGGGGCGGCGCGACGCGGCUCGGGCCCGACAGUGCCCCACCGGGGCCCUAGUUUGUUAUUAUUAUUAUUUUUCCUCCCCUUUGAACUGGAAAAUGGCCCACUUCCCACUGGCGAAAACUCAUGAAAUUUGGCAGGACGACCGGGCCUGGUGAAAAAUUUGAUAUUCCGAAGUCGCCCAAACAAGAAAAUGCAAAAUGGCUCCAUAGCGCCCCCUAAGGUGAAAAUUCACACUAUUGACUGUCACGCGUGUACGCUUUGUCAAAAUGACACAAAAAUUGACACACACAUGUAUCUCAAUAAGAUCUACAAAAAAGUCAGUGCGGGCGUAUCUGUCAAAUGUACGGUUAAAGGGUUAUUUCGCAUUUUUUGCCGAUCCGCACACAUUGGAAUUUCGCUAACUCCUCCGAAGGCUUUCGUUCCACCGGCACCACAUUUGCUCAGGCCAAUCUACACCCCAUGGCCAUUAAAAGUUAUUCAAAUCAUGACGCUGCACCCCACGGUUUAGGUUCUAGGGGGCGCCAAAGAUAACCCUAAGAUCCACAUAUUUAAAAGUCUUAUAACUUUUUAUUUUUGCCCUCACUGGCCUCCAAGUUUUCUAGGAUGAUGCAAUGUCCAGCCAUCAACACAUUUGUGAAGGAAUUUUGACUCCCCAAAAGAGCGCCCCCCCAUGGCAGGAGAAAAAAGUCCAUUUUGUCUUGUCCCCUAAGGUGAAAAUACACAUUGUUGAGUGUAACACCUGUACGCUUUGGCAAAAUGACACAAAAAUUGACACACACAUGUAUCUCAAUAAGAUCUACGAAAAAGUCAAUGCGCGCGUAUCUGUCAAAUGUACGGUUAAAGGGUUAUUCCGCAUUUUUUGCCGAUCCACACACAUUGGAAUUUCGCUAACUCCUCCGAAGGCUUUCGUUCCACCGGCACCACAUUUGCUCAGGCCAAUCUACACCCCAUGGCCAUUAAAAGUUAUUCAAAUCAUGACGCUGCACCCCACGGUUUAGGUUCUAGGGGGCGCCAAAGAUAACCCUAAAAUCCACAUAUUUAAAAGUCUUAUAACUUUUUAUUUUUGUCCUCACUGGCCUCCAAGUUUUCUAGGAUGAUGCAAUGUCCAGCCAUCAACACAUUUGUGAAGGAAUUUUUACUCCCCAAAAGAGCGCCCCCCCAUGGCAGGAGAAAAAAGUCAAUUUUUUCUUGUCCCCUAAGGUGGAAAUUCACACUAUUGACUGUCACGCCUGUACGCUUUAUCAUAUUGACACAAAAAUUGACACACAUAUGUAUCUCAAUAAGAUCUACAAAAAAGUCAAUGCGCGCGUAUCUGUAAAAUGUACGGUUAAAGGGCUAUUUUGCAUUUUUUGCCGAUUCGCACACAUUGGAAUGUGGCUAACUCCUCCUAAGGCUUUCGUCCCACUGACACCAAAUUUGCUCAGGCCAAUCUACACCCCAUGGCCAUGCAAAGUUGUAAAAAUCAUGACGCUGCACCCCACGGUUUACGUUCUAGGGGGCGCCAAAGAUGACCCAAAAAUCCACAUUCUUAAAGGAAUCCACAUCCCCCCCCCCCCAAGGCAGGAGAAAAAGUCAAGUUUAACCUGCCCAUCGCUCAAUGGCUCAAUCGCAUCGCUCUCCAGGCAACACCGUAAGGAGGAGCAACCUGCCAUUUCGAUAUAUCAUAGCUGUGUUUGUGCCCUCACUCAUGGUCCAGACUUUUUUCAAAUAGGACAUGAAGUUUGUCUGCAGCGAGUGUUUUGGUAGAAACUGCGCCUCCCAUUCAUUAUAAUGGGAAAUGACCACAGACAAGUGCGCACACCAUCUUUGGACCUUGAGUGUGACGCGAUCGGGAGGGGGAGGCGGUCGCGCUGGGGGCGGCGCGACGCGGCUCGGGCCCGACAGUGCCCCACCGGGGCCCUAGUCUUAUUAUUUUUCUGCCCCUUUGAACUGGAAAAUGGCCCACUUCCCACUGGCGAAAACUCAUGAAAUUUGGCAGGACGACCGGGCCUGGUGAAAAAUUCGAUAUUCUGAAGUCGCCCAAACAAUAAAAUGCAAAACGGCUCCAUAGCGCCCCCUAAGGUGAAAAUUCACACUAUUGACUGUCACGCCUGUACGCUUUGUCAUAUUGACACAAAAAUUGACACACACGUGUAUCUCAAUAAGAUCUACAAAAAAGUCAGUGCGGGCGUAUCUGUCAAAUGUAUGGUUAAAGGGUUAUUUCGCAUUUUUUGCCGAUCCGCACACAUUGGAAUUUCGCUAACUCCUCCGAAGGCUUUCGUUCCACUGGCACCACAUUUGCUCAGGCCAAUCUACACCCCAUGGCCAUUAAAAGUUGUACAAAUCAUGACGCUGCACCCCACGGUUUAGGUUCUAGGGGGCGCCAAAGAUAACCCAAAAAUCCACAGUCUUAAAAGUCUUAUAACUUUUUAUUUUUGUCCUCACUGGCCUCCAAGUUCUCUAGGAUGUUGCAAUGUCCAGCAAUUAACACAUUUGUGAAGGAAUUUUUACUCGCCAAAAGAGUGCCCCCCCAUGGCAGGAGAAAAAAGUCCAUUUUUUCUUGUCUCCUAAGGUGAAAAUACACAUUGUCGAGUGUCACGCUUGUAUGCUUUGUCAUAUUUACACACAAUUUGACAACCACUUGAAUCUCAAUAAGAUCUACGAAAAAGUCAAUGUGCGCGUAUCUGUCAAAUGUACGGUUAAAGGGUUAUUCUGCAUUUUUUGCAAAUUUGCACACAUUGGAAUUUUUCUAAGUCCUCCGAAGGCUUUUGUCCCACUGACACCACAUUUGCUCAGGCCAAUCUACACUCCAUGGCCAUUCAAAGUUGUACAAAUCAUGACGCUGCACCCCACGGUUUAGGUUCUAGGGGGCACCAAAGAUAACCCAAAAAUCCACAGUCUUAAAAGUCUUAUAACUUUUUAUUUUUGUCCUCAGUGGCCUCCAAGUUGUCUAGGAUGAUGCAAUGUCCAGCAAUUAACACAUUUGUGAAGGAAAUUUUACUCGCCAAAAGAGUGCCCCCCCAUGGCAGGAGAAAAAAGUCCAUUUUUUCUUGUCUCCUAAGGUGAAAAUACACAUUGUCGAGUGUCACGCCUGUACGCUUUGUCAUAUUUACACACAAUUUGACAACCACAUGAAUCUCAAUAAGAUCUAUGAAAAAGUCAAUGUGCGCGUAUCUGUCAAAUGUACGGUUAAAGGGUUAUUCUGCAUUUUUUGCAGAUUUGCACACAUUGGAAUUUUGCUAACUCCUCCGAAGGCUUUUGUCCCACUGACACCAAAUUUGCUCAGGCCAAUCUACACUCCAUGGCCAUUCAAAGUUGUACAAAUCAUGACGCUGCACCCCACGGUUUACGUUCUAGGGGGCGCCAAAGAUAACCCAAAAAUCCACAGUCUUAAAAGUCUUAUAACUUUUUAUUUUUUUCCUCACUGGCCUCCAAGUUCUCUAGGAUGAUGCAAUGUCCAGCCAUCAACACAUUUGUGAAGGAAUUUUUACUCCCCAAAAGAGCGCCCCCCCAUGGCAGGAGAAAAAAGUCCAUUUUUUCUUGUCCCCUAAGGUGAAAAUACACAUUGUUGAGUGUCACGCCUAUACGCUUUGUCAUAUUGACCCAAAAUUUGACAAUCACGUGUAUCUCAAUAAGAUCUACGAAAAAGUCAAUGGGCACGUAUCUGUAAAAUGUACGGUUAAAGGGCUAUUUUGCAUUUUUUCCCGAUCCGCACACAUUGGAAUUUCGCUAACUCCUCCGAAGGCUUUAGUUCCACCGCCACCAAAUUUGCUCAGGCCAAUCUACACCCCAUGGCCAUUAAAAGUUGUACAAAUCAUGACGCUGCACUCCACGGUUUAGGUUCUAGGGGGCGCCAAAGAUAACCCAAAAAUCCACAUUCUUAAUAGUCUUAUAACUUUUUAUUUUUGUCCUCACUGGCCUCCAAGUUUUCUAGGAUGAUGCAAUGUCCAGCCAUCAACACAUUUGUGAAGGAAUUUUUACUCCCGAAAAGAGCGCCCCCCCAUGGCAGGAGAAAAAAGUCCAUUUUUUCUUGUCCCCUAAGGUGAAAAAACACAUUGUUGACUGUCACGCCUAUACACUUUGUCAAAAUGACACAAAAUUUGACACACACGUGUAUCUCAAUAAGAUCUACGAAAAAGUCAAUGGGCACGUAUCUGUAAAAUGUACGGUUAAAGGGCUAUUUCGCAUUUUUUGCCGAUUCGCACACAUUGGAAUGUGGCUAACUCCUCCUAAGGCUUUCUUCCUACCAACACCAAAUUUGCUCAAGCCGAUCUACAUCCCAUGGCCAUUCAAAGUUGUAAAAAUCAUGCCGCUGCACCCCAUGGUUUACGUUCUAGGGGGCGCCAAAGAUGACCCAAAUAUCCACAUUCUUAAAAGAAUCCACAUCCCCCCCCCCAAGGCAGGAGAAAAAGUCCAGUUAACCCUGCCCAUCGCUCAAUGGCUCAAUCGCAUCGCUCUCCUGGCAACACCGUAAGGAGGAGCAACUUGCCAUUUGGAUGUAUCCUAGCUGUGUUUGUGCCCUCACUCAUGGUCCAGACUUUUUUCAAAUAGGACAUGUAGUUUGUCUGCAGCGACCGUUUUGGUAGAAACUGCGCCUCCCAUUCAUUAUAAUGGUAAAUGACCACAGACAAGUGCGCACACCAUCGUUGAACCUUGAGUGUGACGCGAUCGGGAGGGAGAGGCGGUCGCGCUGGGGGCGGCGUGACACAGCUCGGGCCCGCCAGUGCCCCAACGGGGCCCUAGUUCUUUCUGUUCUUCACAAAGGCCCACUUAGGAUAUCCAUAUAUUGUCAGGGCAUUUUUGAUGUGCUUCUGUUCCUUUUCCUUACAUUCUUUCUUUGUGGGAAUGUUCUCAGCCCGGUGGUUGAGUGUUCUGAAAACACCCAGCUUGUGCUGCAGAGGAUGGUGGGAAUCAAAAAGUAAAUAUUGAUCCAUGUGUGUGGGUUUCCUGUACACUUCAACGUUGAGACACCCAUCUGCCUCCAAGUGUACAGCACAAUCCAAGAGGGCCAAAAUGUUGUCCCUGACAUCUUCACGGGUGAACUUGAUGUUGCUGUCCACUGUGUUGAUAUGGUCUGUGAAGGCCUCUACUUCAUGUGUUUUGAUCUUAACCCAGGUGUCAUCCACAUAUCUGAACCAGUGGCUAGGUGCUUCUCCUUUGAAGGAGGUUAGGGCCUUUCUCUCUACCUCUUCCAUGUACAGGUUUGCCACUACUGAAGAAACCGGGGAGCCCAUGGCACAUCCAUGUUUCUUUCUGUGAUGACACUCUCUGAACUAGAAAUAGGUGGUGCUGAGGCAGAUGUGGUCGGGGUUAAGUUAGUUCUGACCUCCAGUGUGCGGUCCUGUAAGAGGUGUUGUCUUACUGCUUGGACUUCCUCUGUUGUAGGAAUACUCGUGAAAAGUGAUGUCACAUCAUAGGAAACCAUGGUUUCAUCUGGGUCCAGCCUGAUGUCCUUGAUUUUUUCAGCAAAGUCCUGUGAGUUUUUGAUGUGGUGAGUGGUGUGGCCAACAAGAGGAGCAAGGAUGGGGACCAAAUGUUUUGCCACUUUGUAUGUGACUGAGUUAAUGCUGAUGAUGAUGGGUCUAAGGGGGGCCCCUUCCUUGUGUAUUUUAGGUAAUCCGUAAAUGCACGGGACUGCUUCCCCUGGGUAAAGCCAGUAAUAGAGUGGGCGGCCAAUAACUCAAUCCUUUUCCAGCUGUUGAAGUACACUGAUAACUCUUUUUUUCGUAGCUGUUGGUAGGAUCCAGUUUUAUAGUUCCAUAGCUGGCAGUUUCACUGAGAAGGCUUGUUCGUUAUUUUUCCUCCGCUUUAAACUGGAAAAUGGCCCACUUCCCACUGGCGAAAACUCAGGAAAUUUGGCAGGACGACCGGGCCUGGUGAAAAAUUUGAUAUUCUGAAGUCGCCCAAACAAAAAAAUGAAAAAUGGCUCCAUAGCGCCCCCUAUGGUGAAAACUCACCUGACGCCUGUACGCUUUGUCAAAAUGACACAAAAUUUGACACACAUGUGUAUCUCAAUAAGAUCUACAAAAAAGUCAGUGCGGGCGUAUCUGUCAAAUGUACCGUUAAAGGGCUAUUUCGCAUUUUUGGUCGAUUCGCACACAUUGGAAUUUCGCUAACUCCUCCGAAGGCUUUCGUUCCACCGGCACCAAAUUUGCUCAGGCCAAUCUACACCCCAUGGCCAUUAAAAGUUGUACAAAUCAUGACGCUGCAUCCCACGGUUUACGUUCUAGGGGGCGCCAAAGAUAACCCAGAAAUCCACAUUCUUAAAAGUCGUAUAACUUUUUAUUUUUGUCCUCACUGGCCUCCAAGUUUUCUAGGAUGAUGCAAUGUCUAGCCAUCAACACAUUUGUGAAGGAAUUUUUACUCCCCAAA
This 9383-nucleotide long non-coding RNA is filed under the name Xyrichtys novacula (pearly razorfish). The record is from RNAcentral. Lineage: Eukaryota; Metazoa; Chordata; Actinopteri; Labriformes; Labridae.